Molecule: ribosomal RNA, 254 nt
Filed under: uncultured bacterium
Lineage: Bacteria
Description: partial 16S ribosomal RNA
Rfam family: Bacterial small subunit ribosomal RNA
Source: RNAcentral
UACGUAGGGCGCAAGCGUUAUCCGGAAUUAUUGGGCGUAAAGAGCUCGUAGGCGGUUUGUCGCGUCUGCCGUGAAAGUCCGGGGCUCAACUCCGGAUCUGCGGUGGGUACGGGCAGACUAGAGUGAUGUAGGGGAGACUGGAAUUCCUGGUGUAGCGGUGAAAUGCGCAGCUAUCAGGAGGAACACCGAUGGCGAAGGCGGUUCUCUGGGCCUGUACUGACGGCUGAGGAGCGAAAGCGUGGGGAGCGAACAGG